RNAcentral lists this RNase P RNA (321 nucleotides) under bacterium. Its description in RNAcentral is "RNase P RNA component class A". It matches the Rfam family "Bacterial RNase P class A". From Rfam's summary of the family: Ribonuclease P (RNase P) is a ubiquitous endoribonuclease, found in archaea, bacteria and eukarya as well as chloroplasts and mitochondria. Its best characterised activity is the generation of mature 5'-ends of tRNAs by cleaving the 5'-leader elements of precursor-tRNAs. Cellular RNase Ps are ribonucleoproteins. The record is from RNAcentral.
UCAGCGCGUUGAGUAACAGCCCCGACGUUACAGUCGGGGAGGAAAGUCCGAACACUCACUCCAGCGCAAACUGGAGAAAGACAGCAGGUAACCCCUGUCAUUUGCUUUCUGCGGGCAAAAGAGGUGCGAACAGAGACGAGUCUUCGGUUUUGCGGAGGGUGUACCCCGAGCGAAGUCGAGGGGUGAAACGGCUAAAUCCUUGUCCGAGUGCAAGGCCGUGCCCCGCCUUCGGCGGGGAGUGCCGCUUGAGCCUCGUUGCGAAGCGAGGCCCAGAUAAAUUGUUGCUCACGACAGAAUUCGGCUUACAGACGCGCGCGCAGA